This 277-nucleotide long non-coding RNA is filed under the name Manihot esculenta (cassava). Its description in RNAcentral is "long non-coding RNA (MESC_LNC002172)". Lineage: Eukaryota; Viridiplantae; Streptophyta; Magnoliopsida; Malpighiales; Euphorbiaceae. The record is from RNAcentral.
UACCAUUAGACAUGACCAUGUGGUAAGGGUUUGAUGAGUUGAUAAACAGUCCUACUUGUAGAAAGAAAGAUUCGGACGCCCAGCUCCUCAUAAAUGCUUGGACGCCCAGCUCCUCAUGAAGACUAGAACGACUAUUAUGCUCACAACCGAGAGAAAGAAAACUCGCCUCAGAACAGGUCAGUCUCAGGUCGGAUAGACUCGCUCUCUUAACUUCAGAGCAAGUCUCCAUAAGGAAGUUAUCGUUAACAGCUAUAAUCUAGUAGAUCCCCUUCACGCC